AUACGGAGGGUCCAAGCGUUAUCCGGAUUCAUUGGGUUUAAAGGGUUCGUAGGCGGAUAAAUAAGUCAGUGGUGAAAUCCCGAAGCUCAACUUCGGAACUGCCAUUGAAACUGUUUAUCUUGAAUUUAGUUGAAGUGGGCGGAAUAUGACAUGUAGCGGUGAAAUGCAUAGAUAUGUCAUGGAACACCAAUAGUGAAGACAGCUCACUAAGCUAAUAUUGACGCUGAUGAACGAAAGCAUGGGUAGCGAACAGGAUUAGAAACCCGAGUAGUCC
RNAcentral lists this ribosomal RNA (274 nucleotides) under uncultured bacterium. Its description in RNAcentral is "partial 16S ribosomal RNA". It matches the Rfam family "Bacterial small subunit ribosomal RNA", at positions 523 to 796 of the family's 1533-position model. The record is from RNAcentral.